RNAcentral lists this long non-coding RNA (585 nucleotides) under Chinchilla lanigera (long-tailed chinchilla). RNAcentral's name for it is "lncRNA (ENSCLAG00000028198.1)". Lineage: Eukaryota; Metazoa; Chordata; Mammalia; Rodentia; Chinchillidae. The record is from RNAcentral.
CACCCACGGAGGUUCACAGAGGAGGAUGAGUUGACAUUUCCUGGGUGGGCGAGAAAGGUGCCUGCCAGGCUUCAAAGGAAUCGGGUCAGGCCUUGACCCACACGCAGAAAAAUCAUCAACGUCAGAUGGAGACAGGCUGAAAUGAUUUUCAGAGGGGAGAAGAUGAUCCAGCACAGCCAGCUCUGCUGGUAGCCUUUAAAAAUGGGGCAAAGUGACAGGCAGCAUGGGGAGGGGGCACCUGACCAUGGAAGAAAGCGAAGACAUGUUUGAAGAAGGAUCCCCAAAGAGAACACCACAGACCACUCCAGAAGUGAAAUCGCACAGCAGGUGUUUCUGUCCAGCACGGCCGUCCUAGAGCGCUCAAGACAAAGCUGGCCCCUGGCUCCGCAAGAUGGAGCGGAUGGAGACGCGCAGAGUCGACAUCCGCCACAAGAGGGCGGCCGACAUAAGCGAUUGAAAGGUCACCCUUCACAGCACACACCGGAAGAGUAAAUCUGUGUUCAACCCGGGUUAAGAUUUGUAUGACCAGGAGCUGCUGCUAGAACCAGGAAAACAAUGAUCUAAAUUAAAAUUUCUUUUCCCAAA